CAUAGGCCCUCAAGGCAUUC
This 20-nucleotide microRNA is filed under the name Panagrellus redivivus. Its description in RNAcentral is "prd-miR-7939c-5p". The record is from miRBase by way of RNAcentral. Lineage: Eukaryota; Metazoa; Nematoda; Chromadorea; Rhabditida; Panagrolaimidae.